GAUGAACGCUGGCGGCGUGCCUAAUACAUGCAAGUCGAGCGAACAGACGAGGAGCUUGCUCCUCUGACGUUAGCGGCGGACGGGGGAGUAACACGUGGAUAACCUACCUAUAAGACUGGGAUAACUUCGGGAAACCGGAGCUAAUACCGGAUAAUAUAUUGAACAGCAUGGUUCAAUAGUGAAAGACGGUUUUGCUGUCACUGAUAGAUGGAUCCGCGCCGCAUUAGCUAGUUGGUAAGGUAACGGCUUACCAAGGCAACGAUGCGUAGCCGACCUGAGAGGGUGAUCGGCCACACUGGAACUGAGACACGGUCCAGACUCCUACGGGAGGCAGCAGUAGGGAAUCUUCCGCAAUGGGCGAAAGCCUGGCGGAGCAACGCCGCGUGAGUGAUGAAGGUCUUCGGAUCGUAAAACUCUGUUAUUAGGGAAGAACAAAUGUGUAAGUAACUAUGCACGUCUUGACGGUACCUAAUCAGAAAGCCACGGCUAACUACGUG
This 497-nucleotide ribosomal RNA is filed under the name uncultured bacterium. RNAcentral describes it as "partial 16S ribosomal RNA". It matches the Rfam family "Bacterial small subunit ribosomal RNA", at positions 28 to 507 of the family's 1533-position model. The record is from RNAcentral.